UACGUAGGUGGCAAGCGUUUGUCCGGAUUUACUGGGCGUAAAGGGCGUGCAGGCGGUCUGUUUAGUCUAGGGUGAAAGCUCCCGGCUCAACUGGGAGAGGUCCUUGGAUACUGGCAGACUUGAGGGAGGCAGAGGAAAGUGGAAUUCCCGGUGUAGUGGUGAUAUGCGUAGAUAUCGGGAGGAACACCAGUGGCGAAGGCGGCUUUCUGGGCCUUACCUGACGCUGAGACGACGAAGCGUGGGGAGCGAACCGG
This 254-nucleotide ribosomal RNA is filed under the name uncultured bacterium. Its description in RNAcentral is "partial 16S ribosomal RNA". It matches the Rfam family "Bacterial small subunit ribosomal RNA", at positions 524 to 776 of the family's 1533-position model. The record is from RNAcentral.